AUAGGGUUUGAUGAUUUUUCAUCAAACCCUCCCAUUUUUACCUUAUCUCAUUUUAAGUCCCCUAUUUUCAGUAAAUUACAAAAGAAACCCCAUUCUUUUGAGUCUAGUCCCUCAAGUUUAUGGAAAUCCCAAAAUGAACCCCAUGUUAUUAAAAACAGCCCAACAGUUAUGCCCAACUCAAUUUUUGACCCUAAACUAUCUGAAAAUUCGAAAAAAACCCCUACUGCAUGUCAAGUGUCAAAUAAACAAGUCAGUAGAAAAACAAAUUGGAUUUUUGAUUGUGGGGCUACAGACACUAUGACUUUUGACAAAUCAGAUAUACUUGAGUCAUCAAAAUCCUUUAGAACUCAUGUACAAACUGCUAAUGGUGACUUAACUCAAGUAGUCGGAGCCGGAACUAUAGAAAUCUCCCCAACCUUGCGAUUAUCCAAUUGUCUAUAUGUUCCGUCCCUAUCUCAUAAGUUGUUGUCAAUUAGUCAUGUUACUAAAGAACUCAAUUGUACCAUGCUGAUGCAUCCUCACUUCUGUUUUCUUCAGGAUAUCAGGACGGNUGCAUAUCAAAUCUCUAGUGAUAAACAGGAUAGAGAUAAAAGUGGAUUUUUGACUGUGGGCUACUGAUACUAUGACUUUUGAGAAAACUGAUAUUCUUGAGUCGUCACCAUCAUACCGAACACAUGUUCAAACUGCAAACGGUGACCUGACCAGUGUUGAAGGAGCCAGAACUAUAGAAAUCUCCCCUACUCUUCGUCUUUCAAACUGUCUAUAUGUUCCCUCUCUUUCUCAUAAACUCUUGUCUAUUAGCCAUGUUACAAAAGAUCUCAAUUGCACCAUGAUCAUGCAUCCUCACUUCUGUCUUCUUCAGGAUAUCAGGACGGGGGAGAUUAUUGGGCGUGGCACUGAGCGGGAUGGAUUGUAUUAUGUGGAUGAGAUAGCUCACAAGGCAAGGUGAUGCUGGCUCACGGGACUGCUAACCGGGAAGCUUGGCUUUGGCAUCGUCGGUUAGGGCAUCCAUCCAUGGGGUAUCUUAAAAUUUUGUUUCCCGAGUUAGUAAAAAAUGAGUCAUUAUCAUGUGAAACUUGUGUUUUGGCUAAGAGCCACAGACAGUCUUUUAAACCCAAUAAUUCUUGUGUUGACUCUAUUUUUUCCUUAGUACAUUCUGAUGUUUGGGGACCGUCUCCUGUUUCGGGGGGUCAAGGUUUUAAGUAUUUCCUACUUUUUAUUGAUGACUGUACUAGGAUGACGUGGGUAUACUUUCUCAAACAUAAGUCUGAAGUUUUUGAAAAAUUUACCCAUUUUUUUGCCCUGGUUCAAACUCAAUUUCAAAAACAUAUUCAGACCCUUAGAACCGAUAAUGGGGGGGGAAUUUGUUAAUCAUUCUAUGCAGAAUUUUUGUCAACAAAAAGGGAUAAUCCAUCAAACCACUUGCCCUCAUACCCCCGAACAAAACGGUGUUGCUGAACGAAAAAAUAGAAUCCUUCUUGAAAUGACCCGGGCUAUGAUAAUUGAAUCUAAAGUGCCCACUCACUUCUGGCCUGAAGCUGUUGCCACUUCAGUCUAUCUCAUAAAUCGUCUUCCUACUAGAACUCUCCAGUUACAAACCCCUCUGCAAAAACUAUCCAAUUUGGCCUCUGUCCCGCCUACACUUACUCUUCAACCUCGGGUAUUUGGGUGUUCAGUUUUUGUUCAUAUCCCCAAGCAUGAAAGAACUAAACUCUCUCCGUGUGCCCUUAAGUGUGUUUUUGUAGGAUAUGGGGUUAACCAAAAAGGUUAUAGGUGUUACAAUCCAAAGACCCGUCAAGUCUUAACCACGAUGAAUUGUGAUUUCCUUGAAACCGAAUAUUUUUAUGAUACCCACCUUAACAGUCAGGGAGAGAGUGAGGAAAAGAGUGAAAUAGACAUGUUAAGCUGGUUACCAAUGCCAAGUCCUGAAGCAGGACCACCAGAGACGGUUAACCUUGCCACCGAGCAGGUCUCAUCCACUUCAGAAUCAAUCUCUUCUCAGCCUCAGCAUCCCAUAUCUCCUCAUCCGAUAUCUCCGGUAAGAAAUUCAGAACCUACUGUUCUUUCCGAUUCAACUGAUCAUAUUCCUCAGAUUGGUGUAGAAGAACAGGAGAAUACGACAGAUGGUGAUGCUGGGAGAUACGUUUUACCUCCUAGGAGUACUAGAGGUAUUCCUCCCAAACGAUACUCUCCAGAAAAGUUUGGAAAGAAUACUCGGUAUCCUAUUGGAAAUAUCGCCAAGGGAAAUUUGUCCAAAACUGCCACUGCCUAUGAAGCAGCCUUAUAUGAUGAGGAGAUCCCACAAUCAGCAGAACAAGCACUCAAAAUUGAGCAUUGGAGGGCUGCCAUGAAAAAGGAAAUCGGUGCUCUGAUCGUAAUCAUACUUGGGAAAAGUGUAGAUUACCAAAGGGAAAGAAGACAGUUGGAUGUAAAUGGGUUUUCACCAUCAAAAGAAAACCAGAUGGAUCGAUUGAGCGAUACAAAGCUCGACUGGUUGCCAAAGGAUAUACACAGAUGUAUGGGAUUGACUAUGAGGAGACUUUUUCACCUGUGGCAAAGAUGAACACCGUCAGAGUUCUUCUAUCUAUAGCUGCCAACAGAGACUGGGAUCUUCACCAGUUUGAUGUUACAAAUGCCUUCCUUCAUGGAGAACUCGAGGAGGAAAGGGAGGUUUACAUGGAUGUUCCUCAAGGUUUUUCAGACGACUUUGAAGAAGGUGAGGUGUGCAAACUGAAGAAGACUCUAUAUGGCCUCAAACAGUCUCCCAGGGCUUGGUUUGGACGUUUCACAGAAGCUAUGAAGAAGUUUGGGUACCAACAAAGCAACGCAGACCACACCUUAUUCUUGAAGAAACAAGGUGAUCUUAUUUCUUGCUUAGUCAUUUACGUUGAUGAUAUGAUCAUAACAGGGGAUGACUUAGAAGAAAUUCAGAAGUUGAAAGAAAGCCUGUUCAAAGAAUUCGAGAUGAAAGACUUAGGAAGACUGAAGUACUUUCUUGGCAUUGAAGUACUCAGAUCAAAGAGAGGAAUCUUCAUCAGUCAGAAGAAAUACACUCUAGAUCUUCUUGCAGAGACAGGAAUGCUGGAUUGCAAACCAGCAGAAACACCUAUUGUGACAAAUCAUGGGCUACAGAUUGUGAAGGGAGCAGAGUUAGCUGAUCGUGGACAAUAUCAACGUCUGGUAGGGAAGCUUAUCUAUCUCUCCCAUACUCGACCGGAUAUUGCCUACGCUGUUGGAGCGGUUAGCCAAUUCAUGCAUCAACCCCAAGUUGAUCACUGGGAAGCCGCACUUAGAAUUGUGAGAUAUCUGAAAGGAACCUUUGAUUAUGGAGUGUUAUUCAAGAAAUCUGGACACCUUGAGAUACAGGCAUACACUGAUGCUGACUGGGCUGAAAAUCCUGUCGACCGAAAGUCAACAGCAGGAUACUUCACCUUUAUUGGAGGCAACCUUGUCUCAUGGAGGAGUAAAAAACAGAAAGUGGUAGCACUCUCUAGUGCAGAAGCCGAGUUCAGAGGAAUCAAGAGUGGGCUGACUGAAGUCCUGUGGCUAAGAAGACUUUUAACUGAAUUAGGUCUUCAACCAUCAAAGACGUGCCAGAUGUUCUGCGACAAUAAAGCUGCUAUCAGUAUAUCAGAAAAUCCUGUGCAACAUGACAGGACGAAGCAUGUAGAGGUUGAUAGACACUUCAUCAAAGAGAAGAUCGAAAGUGGUGUUGUGUCUUUACCCUUUGUACGAUCCGAGGACCAACUUGCAGACAUUCUUACCCAAGCCGUCAAUUCCAAGAGUUUUACAGAAGUUCUCGACAAGUUGAGCAUCGGAAAUCCCGUCACUCAACUUGAGGGGGAGUGUUGAAAAUAAGAAUCAAUAGUCAAAAGUAUUAAAAUCAAUUCAAAGAUUAGAUCUUUGAAUUGAAUAUAAGAGUGUGUAUAUUUGAUUUUAAGAAGAUUUUGUAAGACUUUUUAUCCAUCCUUAUACUAUAUAAGGAUGCAUUGUAAUCAAGGAAACAAGUAAGCAAUACAACAACAAUUAUCUUGCUUCUCUUUAUUCUCUGCAUUAUGAUAAUAACAUGUUUUA
Molecule: long non-coding RNA, 4074 nt
Filed under: Salvia miltiorrhiza (redroot sage)
Lineage: Eukaryota; Viridiplantae; Streptophyta; Magnoliopsida; Lamiales; Lamiaceae
Description: long non-coding RNA (SMIL_LNC006546)
Source: RNAcentral